This 587-nucleotide ribosomal RNA is filed under the name fungal endophyte. Its description in RNAcentral is "eukaryotic LSU rRNA". The stretch from base 214 to 367 matches the Rfam family "5.8S ribosomal RNA". The record is from RNAcentral. Lineage: Eukaryota; Fungi.
AACACGGUCCGUUGGUGAACCAGCGGAGGGAUCAUUACAAGAAGCCGAAAGGGCUACUUCAAACCAUCGUGAACUUAUCCAAGUUGCUUCGGCGGCGCGGCUCCCCUCGCGGGGUGCCGCAGCCCCGCCCCCUCGGGGGUGGUGGGCGCCCGCCGGAGGUAUUAAACUCUCCCGUAUUAUAGUGGUAUUUCUGAGUAAAAACAAAUAAGUUAAAACUUUCAACAACGGAUCUCUUGGUUCUGGCAUCGAUGAAGAACGCAGCGAAAUGCGAUAAGUAAUGUGAAUUGCAGAAUUCAGUGAAUCAUCGAAUCUUUGAACGCACAUUGCGCCCGCUAGUAUUCUAGCGGGCAUGCCUGUUCGAGCGUCAUUUCAACCCUCAAGCCCUGCUUGGUGUUGGGGCCCUACGGCUGCCGUAGGCCCUGAAAAGAAGUGGCGGGCUCGCUGCAACUCCGAGCGUAGUAAUUCAUUAUCUCGCUAGGGAGGCGCGGCGGUGCUCCUGCCGUUAAAGACCAUCUUUAACCAAAGGUUGACCUCGGAUCAGGUAGGAAUACCCGCUGAACUUAAGCAUAUCAUAGGCCCGGAGGAAA